AACCCUUGUUUUACAUAUCAGUAGUAUGUUACUGAGAAAUAAAAAAUGUUUACGAAUGUUGAAACAAUUGCAAACAAAACGUUCCAUCAAUUGAUGGCAUAUUAACCAGUAGAUGCACACACAAUGUUGGAGGUCAACAAUAUUUGGUUAUGUUCGGCCCUCUUCCUUCCAUUGACAAACGAUCGAGCAACACCGUAGAAAAUGAAUUUUCAACUGUUGUUUAUAAGAAAUCGUAAAAGAGAGAGAGAGAGAGAGAGAAAGAGAGAUAGAUAGAUAAAGAGAAAAAGAAGAAGGGAAAAAAGAAAGAAAGAAUCUAUAUAUGUAUCAUUGAAUCGAUCUUCUUCGUUUACAUAUUUAACGUAAAAAAAAAGAAACAAAAAGAAAAAACUUAUUAAUUAAACUUCGAUUGCGCACGUUAAAUAUCUUGUACAUAUAUAUAUGUAUAUAUAUAUAUGUGUGUAUAUAAAUAUAUAUAUAUAUAUAUAUAUAUUUGUUUAUAUCUUUUUCUUCUUUCUAUCUAUCUAGUGAUUCCUUAGGCUUGUAAGGGGGGCUUUUUUAACGUAUAUUUAAGUUAGAUCGAAAUUCGUUAAGUACCGUGCGAAUUAUUAUUAUCUCUAAUAAUAAUGAUGAUGAUAGACCAUAUAUCGUCCAAUCGGAAUAAACUUGAGCUUUCUUCUUAUAUACGUGUUACACUAUUAAACAAAUGAUUUUUCUUUCUAUAUAAUUUCUCACGCACGAAUAAUAAUAUUUAUCGAUAAUAACAUUAGAAAAGACAUGUCAGAUGUGAGAGAAGCAAAAUGGCGAUCAACGCGUACACGAAACUAUCUUUGUUACGAAUAAUCCAUGAAAACGUUAUUAUAUUACUCCUAAACUCGACGUAUCAGCGUUCUUUGUUUAUGCCCAAUGAUUACUUAUUUUUACAUUACUAAUAUUACUAUGUUAAUAUUUGAUUAUUCGUUUAAUAUUCGAUUAACUUACAAGAAUGUUUACCUCAUUGUUACUUAGUCUAACAUAACCUAACAAUCGAAUAUAUAUUUUCUUUUAUUUCUUUCGAAUGAAUCCUUCAUUCUUUUAUUUUCUUUUUGGUAUUUGUUUUGUUUUAUACCUCU
Molecule: long non-coding RNA, 1109 nt
Organism: Polistes canadensis
Lineage: Eukaryota; Metazoa; Arthropoda; Insecta; Hymenoptera; Vespidae
Exons: 2
Source: RefSeq, a predicted model, not a curated record